Molecule: ribosomal RNA, 375 nt
Filed under: Triticum aestivum (bread wheat)
Lineage: Eukaryota; Viridiplantae; Streptophyta; Magnoliopsida; Poales; Poaceae
Description: partial small subunit ribosomal RNA
Source: RNAcentral
AUGAGCAGACACACUGUGCCCUCUGUAACCCUACAUAUAAUGGAAGUAAAGAAACAAAGCAGAGCACCCUCCUCUGGUGCCUUGUUUCACCUAGGGCUGACGUCGGUCACCGUCUGCGGCACGACCGUGCUGAACAUGUCGGAAUCGUCCGCCGUGGUCGAGUUCUUGAACCUCGAGUCGCUGGAGGCCGUCGCCUUGGAGACACCGCUAUUGUACUCACUGAUGUACCCCGGCGCCGUCAGCUCGCUCUCGUUGAUCCGGAUGGGCUUGGACAGCAUCUUCACCACCUGCAGCAUCGAUGGCCGCCGCGCCGCCGCCGCCUGCGUGCAGAAGAGGGCCACCUUGAUGAACCUGAUGGCCUCCUCAUCAGGGUAA